UGAGACCACCACAUCAUCAACAUCACUAUUUUAAUGUCCGACCUUUCAAGAUAACGUCGGAUGAAUGGGAACACGAAGAGCAGCGUAGAGAGCAUGUUUGGGGAUAAGUAGAUAAGAAUGACCAUGAUGAACAGGGAAGGUGAGGAACCGCUGUGUCCCCCCAACCAGUUCUUAAUGGUUUCCGCAAUACCGGAAGGGCUUCUCCAGCUGUAUGCGUAAGUUACUGGCAUGAGUACAACCCAUACUGCAGCUGCAAUUGCCUUCAAGAUGAAUCUGAGCUUCGCAUGAAAUGACAUGCUAUGUCUUGACUUCCAGCUCAGAGCUAUAUCAAGGACAGCUGAAAUUUUGGCAACCAGUUCAGAGAAAGAAAAGAGCAUGUCCAGAAAUGCAGAAAUAGAGAAAUUUUUGUACAAGAUAGCUACUAUGAUAGCUACAUAUGGAAAACUUUAAAGCGGUAUGAGUUGACGAAUCAUUACCUUGUGCAAGCUUUAAAAUAGCUGCCGUGAUGAAGAUGCUCAAAACCUUUAGGAAGACAUCACCGUGAAAGAUGGCGCCUAAAUCGCCUGAGCCGUUCCAAGCAAUAAUGAUCAUUGCCUACACAAUACAUAAAUGAAUCAAAACUACAUGUCAUGACAAGAAAGUACAGAUUUGGAGACUGUAUUUAAUGGAAAUUACUAGCCCUACCUGCAAAGACAGGAUAUAGAAACUCCACAUUCUAUCGAAACUUCUAAAGAUAUGCCAGAAGGAGCGUAUCUCAACAAAGUUAACUUUCCCCAUCCAUCGAUCUCCAGUUUUUGGUUUGUCCUGCAGCAUUGUGAACACCAACCAUGAAAUUCUAGAUACACAAAACUUGAGGAAAACAAUAGAACACUUCUACCUAACGUAUAGCAUGACUAGUUGAACUAUAAUUUGAAGUAUAGAACUUGUAUGUUUCUUUAACACAGUAUACACAAGAAGUUGAAAACAACAAAAGAUAAUGAGCCUAGUUUCUUCUACCCUUACCUCACCCUUGUCAAGUCGAAGUUCCUCAGCUGUCUGACAAAAGAAAUCAGCAUCAGCUCGCAUAGGCCACCCUAACCGAAAGCACCGAACUGACCUACAAGUUGAUAAAACAAAGAGCUGUAAGAGACCUGACAUUUUAGAAGGUUACAAGAUAAUUAUGUUCAACGUACCAAAAAUACUCAUUUAAGUCGUCAUAGUUUCUCCAUUCAGAAUGCUUCGACUUUCCUCCUCUACUUCUCUUUGCUUCCUACAAUACACGAAUAUGAUGAUAUAAAAUGGAGGAGAAGACAGCAAAACAAGACAAAUGGUCAAGACUGAAGAACCAAGGCAAUCAACCUUAGCUAUUGUCUUGUAUAUCGGAGUCACGACUUUCUGCAGGAAAGCUUCAUCAUCACCACCAUAUGCUGGUUUUAUAUGCUCCCCUGUUGUUGGACUAACACUCCCAGCCAACAUCCCGUACAAUUCAAAAGCCAUCUACACAAAUUCAUACGAUGAAAAUUUAAACUCAAGUAAGAAAAACUUCCUAGUAAAUGUCAAAUAUGUAUUAUUAAGUUCUAAAUGUUUCAUUUUCUUUGUAUCCACCAUGGGAAAAUUUCACAUACUCACUAAUACUCAACGAUGGCUAUGGUUUACUUCCUCAUCCUUAUAUCUAAUGUUUUGAGCUCUCCGAAGUCCGAAGUUUACUAGUAUAUAGCUACGUCUAAUGUAGUAGCAAAGAUCACCAAGAACUGAACUCACAUGCUCUUCUCUAAAUUCAAAAUGUAAGAUUUCACUUUCAGGAAAACAAACUAGAGGAGAAGCUGAAGACAUACAUGGUGAUAUAUAUAGCAAAGGCAUUCUGGCAUGAAUCUUAGGUUUGCAGCCUCUCCCCAAAUCAAGAGAUAGAGUCCCAUAUAAAGCAGUUUCCGCUGCUGAACCUCUUGUUGAAUCGUCGGCAACCUACAAAGCCUCCUUGUCUUUACUAGAUGGAAUCUGAAAUUGCCAGAACAUAACACAACUUCAAACGGAGCUCUAUCCAACAGAAGUUAUUAACAUUAUUCAUAAAAAUACUGGUCCGUAUCAUGUUUCGUUUGUAAGCAGACCUGAUCGAACUUGCGGGAGAAAGUCGCCCUAAUCCCUCUCUUCUUUGCAGUUUCGCUUUUCUCAUUUGGAACCAAGCAAGCAUUAAAGGCCCCUGGUAAGGACUGAAAUCUAGACCUCAACAUUCCUAGUGUUCGGAUCUGCAAAUUUAAUAAACUUCAUCUCAGACAUUGUUUAUUUUUGUGGGAAACUCAAGAUAUGUUAGCAUGCCACUUCAUCAUAUAAUAACUAAGUUCUAUUUGCAAUAUAAACCUCUCCAAGACGUCGAAAAGCUCCAUUUAAACCCCCAACAAGAGUUGAUACAAUUGCGUACCAUAUCUGGGUGUCCAUGAAAUAAACCUGUAUAUGAAAGUUAGCAUAGAUAUAUGUAGGGGAAGUAUAUAAAGGAAGCAUAUGUUAGAGGAAGCUGUGGCCAACUCACAAGAAUGACAGGUGACCAGAGCGCCACCACAACACCCAAAUUAUUCUUUGCUGAAACAAAAGGAAAAAAAAAAAUAGAAAAUUAUUAUGCAAUGAACUAAUACUGUACCUACACGCUACUAAACAUUACCAUGAGGGAAAAAUUCGUGCCAACGGUACACUGAGAUAUGAACUCGCAUAAUAUCUUUGGUUGGGACGACAAGAGGUUUAAUCUGCUCCAAGAAAUGGAAAGUAUGAGAAACAUAUGUAUUUAAGGGUUGAUAAAAAUGUCACUAGAAUCAUCUCAACAGCUGUUAGUGAAGAGUCUUCAUUUAUAAUAUGCUCCUUACAUAUUGUUCUUGUUAUAUUAAGAAAAAACACAUUCAAGAUAACCGCAAAAUGUAGUACCUCAGCAUAAAAACUGAAUGCAAGCUUUGAUAUCAGAAGGACAACCCAGUACAUCGUGUACCUAAAUAUCAUUACCAAAACCUCGUUAGGCAGUGCGUUGUAAGACAAUCAAACAUUAAUUAUAUUAUAACACUAGCAUGCAAGUUUUACAGUCUUACUUAAAAAGCGACCAUGCACUCUCAUGCAUACCCCUUCCUAUGUAUAGCCUCGGCUGCAUCACCAAGAAACAGAAUCAAGAUUAGCGAUCUUCUUAAAUAGCAUUCAUGAACUAGCGACUUAUUAAGAUUUAUGAAUAAGGUACCUGAGACCACCACAUCAUCAACAUCACUAUUUUAAUGUCCGACCUUUCAAGAUAACGUCGGAUGAAUGGGAACACGAAGAGCAGCGUAGAGAGCAUGUUUGGGGAUAAGUAGAUAAGAAUGACCAUGAUGAACAGGGAAGGUGAGGAACCGCUGUGUCCCCCCAACCAGUUCUUAAUGGUUUCCGCAAUACCGGAAGGGCUUCUCCAGCUGUAUGCGUAAGUUACUGGCAUGAGUACAACCCAUACUGCAGCUGCAAUUGCCUUCAAGAUGAAUCUGAGCUUCGCAU
This 3477-nucleotide long non-coding RNA is filed under the name Brassica napus (rape). RNAcentral describes it as "long non-coding RNA (BNAP_LNC004093)". Lineage: Eukaryota; Viridiplantae; Streptophyta; Magnoliopsida; Brassicales; Brassicaceae. The record is from RNAcentral.